GGGCCCAUAGCUCAGUCGGUAGAGCAGCGGCCUUUUAAGCCGUUGGUCGCGCGUUCGAGUCGCGCUGGGCCCACCA
Molecule: transfer RNA, 76 nt
Filed under: Bacillota bacterium
Lineage: Bacteria; Bacillati; Bacillota
Also listed under: 5 other names
Description: tRNA-Lys
Rfam family: tRNA
About the family: Transfer RNA (tRNA) molecules are approximately 80 nucleotides in length. Their secondary structure includes four short double-helical elements and three loops (D, anti-codon, and T loops). Further hydrogen bonds mediate the characteristic L-shaped molecular structure. tRNAs have two regions of fundamental functional importance: the anti-codon, which is responsible for specific mRNA codon recognition, and the 3' end, to which the tRNAs corresponding amino acid is attached (by aminoacyl-tRNA synthetases). tRNAs cope with the degeneracy of the genetic code in two manners: having more than one tRNA (with a specific anti-codon) for a particular amino acid; and 'wobble' base-pairing, i.e. permitting non-standard base-pairing at the 3rd anti-codon position.
Source: RNAcentral